Molecule: ribosomal RNA, 627 nt
Filed under: Veillonella dispar
Lineage: Bacteria; Bacillati; Bacillota; Negativicutes; Veillonellales; Veillonellaceae
Description: bacterial SSU rRNA
Rfam family: Bacterial small subunit ribosomal RNA
Source: RNAcentral
GCAAUGGACAAAGUCUGACGGAGCAACGCCGCGUGAGUGAUGACGGCCUUCGGGUUGUAAAGCUCUGUUAAUCGGGACGAAAGGCCUUCUUGCGAAUAGUUAGAAGGAUUGACGGUACCGGAAUAGAAAGCCACGGCUAACUACGUGCCAGCAGCCGCGGUAAUACGUAGGUGGCAAGCGUUGUCCGGAAUUAUUGGGCGUAAAGCGCGCGCAGGCGGAUUGGUCAGUCUGUCUUAAAAGUUCGGGGCUUAACCCCGUGAUGGGAUGGAAACUGCCAAUCUAGAGUCUCGGAGAGGAAAGUGGAAUUCCUAGUGUAGCGGUGAAAUGCAUAGAUAUUAGGAAGAACACCAGUGGCGAAGGCGACUUUCUGGACGAAAACUGACGCUGAGGCGCGAAAGCCAGGGGAGCGAACGGGAUUAGAUACCCCGGUAGUCCUGGCCGUAAACGGUGGGUACUAGGUGUAGGAGGUAUCGACCCCUUCUGUGCCGGAGUUAACGCAAUAAGUACCCCGCCUGGGGAGUACGACCGCAAGGUUGAAACUCAAAGGAAUUGACGGGGGCCCGCACAAGCGGUGGAGUAUGUGGUUUAAUUCGACGCAACGCGAAGAACCUUACCAGGUCUUGACAU